Molecule: non-coding RNA, 1470 nt
Organism: Camellia sinensis
Lineage: Eukaryota; Viridiplantae; Streptophyta; Magnoliopsida; Ericales; Theaceae
Source: RefSeq, a predicted model, not a curated record
UCAAAAUAAACUCCUCCAAUUCUCUUUCACAUCCCACAACUCUGUCUCUCUCUCCAACUCAAGCAGAGCAAAGCAAAAAAACAUGUCCAUUCAAGCUCUUUCUCUCUCCUCUCUCAUGACUUUCUUCCUCACCACCUCAAUUCUCACACAACCAUCAACCUCGGCCAUAGAAUCCUUCAUAUACGGUGGUUGUUCUCAGCUCAAAUACACCGAAGGCACACCCUACGAGUCCAACGUCAACUCACUACUCACUUCCCUGGUUAACUCAGCCUCCUUCGCCACCUCCAACAAAUUCAAGAUCUCCGUCCCAGGCUCCGCCCCAACCGAUGUCGUUUACGGCCUCUUCCAAUGCCGCGGCGACCUCCGAAACUCCGACUGCCGCGACUGCGUCGCCCGCUCAGUGAGUCAACUCGGCAACCUCUGUUUUGACUCAACGGGUGGCGCGUUGCAGCUAGAAGGGUGUUUCGUGAAGUACGAUAAUAUUUCCUUUUUGGGUGUCGAGGACAAGGCUGUGGUGUUGAAGAAAUGUGGGCCGUCGAUUGGGUAUGAUUCUGAGGCGUUGACUCGUCGUGAUGCUGUGAUGGAUUAUCUAGCGGCUGCGGGGCAGUUUUUUAGGGUAGGUGGGUCCGGGAAUGUACAGGGUGUGGCGCAGUGUGUACAAGAUUUGGAUCUGAGCGAGUGUCAGGAUUGUCUAUCGGAGGCGAUCGGACGGUUGAAAAGCGAGUGCGGGUCCACGGCUUCGGGUAAUAUGUUUUUGGGGAAGUGCUACGCGCGGUACUCGGAGCGUGGGGUCUCGUCCAAGAGCGGUAAGGGGUUGCUCCACCACCAUCACCACGGCGGAUGUUGGUGGCUUGUGGGUCUAAUGAUGAGAUUGAGAAAACACUUGCAAUACUCAUUGGACUCAUAGCUGGUGUUGCAGUGCUCAUUGUUUUUCUAUCAAUCUUCAGCAAACUACUAGAAAGUGGUAAAUAAGUUACAUCUUGAGGAUAUAUGCCACAAAGAUGUUCUCUUUUCUCUUUCCUACCUCCUCUGGUACAAAUUGCUUUUCUUUCUUUGUUCUUUAACUUGCUUUUUUCUUUCAUGGUCCCUACCCUUUCUCUCUUCAUUGUCUUUGUGAAGGCUCCUUCAUAUUUCCUCUAAAGAAAAAUCCUAAAAGGGAAGAUAGAGAUAUGAGUAUUCAAGCAGUUUCCUUCCUUGAAACAAGUGAAAAGAAAGUUGAAUAAAUAAGUGAUGAAGAAGCCUCAAGAUUCCACAAUCUUCACAUCCACUUAAUAAAGUAAGCUCUCAUAUGCUUAUUAUUAUUUGAAUAAUUGUCAAUGCUUUUGUAGAAGUGCUCUUGUAUAUAGCUGCAUUGAUAUAGAUGUCACUGUUGAUUACUUUUUUGCAAGUGCAAAAAACCUAUAUUACAUUUUAAUUUGUAAAACAUAAUUGUUCUUGUUUUUCAUUUUAAUUUAUGUUACUUCUCAAAUA